CGAGAUUCCCCCAGUAGCGGCGAGCGAACGGGGAGCAGCCCAGAGCCUGAAUCAGUGUGUGUGUUAGUGGAAGCGUCUGGAAAGGCGCGCGAUACAGGGUGACAGCCCCGUACACAAAAAUGCACAUACUGUGAGCUCGAUGAGUAGGGCGGGACACGUGGUAUCCUGUCUGAAUAUGGGGGGACCAUCCUCCAAGGCUAAAUACUCCUGACUGACCGAUAGUGAACCAGUACCGGGAGGGAAAGGCGAAAAGAA
This 255-nucleotide ribosomal RNA is filed under the name Escherichia coli. RNAcentral describes it as "partial 23S ribosomal RNA". It matches the Rfam family "Bacterial large subunit ribosomal RNA", at positions 230 to 523 of the family's 2925-position model. Lineage: Bacteria; Pseudomonadati; Pseudomonadota; Gammaproteobacteria; Enterobacterales; Enterobacteriaceae. The record is from RNAcentral.